AACGCGAAGAACCUUACCUGGGUUUGAAGUGCAGGUGUAAGCCCCAGAGAUGGGGUCCCCUCUUCGGAGGCACCUGUAUAGGUGCUGCAUGGCUGUCGUCAGCUCGUGUCGUGAGAUGUUGGGUUAAGUCCCGCAACGAGCGCAACCCUUGUCCAUAGUUACUAACGGGUAGUGCCGAGAACUCUAUGGAGACUGCCGGUGAUAAACCGGAGGAAGGUGGGGAUGACGUCAAGUCCUCAUGGCCUUUAUGUCCAGGGCUACACACGUGCUACAAUGGACGGCACAAAGAGUCGCAAAACCGCGAGGUUGAGCUAAUCUCAAAAAACCGUUCUCAGUUCGGAUUGCAGUCUGCAACUCGACUGCAUGAAGCUGGAAUCGCUAGUAAUCGCGGAUCAGCACGCCGCGGUGAAUACGUUCCCGGGCCUUGUACACACCGAGUAUA
This 442-nucleotide ribosomal RNA is filed under the name uncultured bacterium. RNAcentral's name for it is "bacterial SSU rRNA". It matches the Rfam family "Bacterial small subunit ribosomal RNA", at positions 958 to 1398 of the family's 1533-position model. The record is from RNAcentral.